AUACGGAGGGUGCAAGCGUUAUCCGGAUUUAUUGGGUUUAAAGGGUGCGUAGGCGGUUUGAUAAGUCAGCGGUGAAAUAUUUCAGCUUAACUGGAAGGGUGCCGUUGAUACUGUCGAGCUUGAAUUUAGUUGCUGUGGGUGGAAUGUGUGGUGUAGCGGUGAAAUGCAUAGAUAUCACACAGAAUAUCGAUUGCGAAGGCAGCUCACAAAGCUAAUAUUGACGCUGAUGCAUGAAAGUGUGGGGAUCAAACAGGAUUAGAUACCCUGGUAGUCCACACUGUAAACGAUGAUAACUCGCUGUCGGCGAUACAUAGUCGGUGGCCAAGCGAAAGCGAUAAGUUAUCCACCUGGGGAGUACGACCGCAAGGUUGAAACUCAAAGGAAUUGACGGGG
Molecule: ribosomal RNA, 393 nt
Filed under: uncultured bacterium
Lineage: Bacteria
Description: partial 16S ribosomal RNA
Rfam family: Bacterial small subunit ribosomal RNA
Source: RNAcentral